RNAcentral lists this ribosomal RNA (406 nucleotides) under uncultured bacterium. Its description in RNAcentral is "partial 16S ribosomal RNA". It matches the Rfam family "Bacterial small subunit ribosomal RNA", at positions 30 to 526 of the family's 1533-position model. The record is from RNAcentral.
AUUGAACGCUGGCGGCAGGCCUAACACAUGCAAGUCGAACGAGUGGCGGACGGGUGAGUAAUGUCUGGGAAACUGCCUGCUGGAGGGGGAUAACUGCUGGCAACGGUAGCUAAUACCGCAUACCAUCAGAUGUGCUCAGAUGGGUUUAGCUUGUUGGUGGGGUAACGGCUCACCAAGGCUACGAUCCCUAGCUGGUCUGAGAGGAUGACCAGACCCACUGGAACUGGGAUACGGGCCAGACUCCUACGGGAGGCAGCAGGGGGGAAUAUUGCACGAUGGGAGCAAGCCUGAUGCAGCCAUGCCGCGUGUAUGAAGAAGGCCUUCGGGUUGUAAAGUACUUUCAGCGGGGAGGCGUUACCCGCAGAAGAAGCACCGGCUAACUCCGUGCCAGCAGCCGCGGUAAUAC